This 409-nucleotide long non-coding RNA is filed under the name Anas platyrhynchos platyrhynchos (common mallard). RNAcentral's name for it is "lncRNA (ENSAPLG00000018362.1)". The record is from RNAcentral. Lineage: Eukaryota; Metazoa; Chordata; Aves; Anseriformes; Anatidae.
CAAAAGCCAAGAGUGUACUAACAUUGCUUAACAGUGUAAUUGCCAAGUAUUAAUGAAGUCUUGCAUAGGUUUGGUUUUCAAAAUACAACAGAUACUAGAAGUCAUCUUCUUCUCAGGUAAAUAUUGUCAUUACAAAUGACAAAUGACACAAAUGAAACAGUGUUCUUCCUCACCUGAACAAAUUCCCAUUCAUAUUUAUAUUUUGUGUUACUAAUUUUUUUUCUGCAUUGCAACCUGAAUGCUUCCAACUUUUAAAAGUGAAGAACACUAAAGCUUUGUUGUACUACAGGAGAGCAAUAAGUAUCGGUUUAGGAGUCCUGUUACUUGGUCUGUUGUUACAUUACCGGAUGCACUUAUUCAAGUUAUUCACAUAGAUCACGGCUUAAUAAAGAAAGACAAUAAAAAUUCA